UCCCUUAUUCUUGCAAGUCGAACGACAGAUAAGGAAGCUUGCUCCUUUGCCGUUAGCGAUAGACGGGUGAGUAACACGUGUCAAACCUACCUAUAAGACUGGAAUACUCCGGGAAACCUUCUCUAAUGCCGGAUAACAUAUAUAACCGCAUGGUUCUAUCGUGAAAGAUGGUUUUGCUAUCAUUUAUAGAUGGACCCGCGCCGUAUUAGCUAGUUGGUUAGGUAAUGGCUUACCAAGGCGACGAUACGUAGCCGACCUGAGAGGGUGAUCGGCCACACUGGAACUGAGACACGGUCCAGACUCCUACAGGAGGCAGCAGUAGGGAAUCUUCCGCAAUGGGCGAAAGUCUGACGGAGCAACGCCGCGUGAGUGAUGAAGGGUUUCGGCUCGUAAAACUCUGUUAUUAGGGAAGAACUUAUGUGUAAGUAUCUGUGCACAUCUUGCCGGUUCCUAAUCAAAAAGC
This 463-nucleotide ribosomal RNA is filed under the name Staphylococcus sp. RNAcentral describes it as "bacterial SSU rRNA". It matches the Rfam family "Bacterial small subunit ribosomal RNA", at positions 45 to 491 of the family's 1533-position model. Lineage: Bacteria; Bacillati; Bacillota; Bacilli; Caryophanales; Staphylococcaceae. The record is from RNAcentral.